RNAcentral lists this transfer RNA (72 nucleotides) under Bos taurus (domestic cattle). It matches the Rfam family "tRNA". Rfam says of the family: Transfer RNA (tRNA) molecules are approximately 80 nucleotides in length. Their secondary structure includes four short double-helical elements and three loops (D, anti-codon, and T loops). RNAcentral also lists the same sequence under 2 other names. Lineage: Eukaryota; Metazoa; Chordata; Mammalia; Artiodactyla; Bovidae. The record is from Rfam by way of RNAcentral.
UCCCUGGUGGCUCAGAUGGUAAAGAAUCUGCCUGCAAUGCAGAAGACCCAGGUUUGAUCCCUGGGUCGGGAA